This is a non-coding RNA of Tolumonas auensis DSM 9187, 183 nucleotides long. It matches the Rfam family "6S / SsrS RNA". From Rfam's summary of the family: E. coli 6S RNA was the first non coding RNA to be sequenced, but its function was unknown until recently. NCBI's taxonomy places the organism in Bacteria, Pseudomonadati, Pseudomonadota, Gammaproteobacteria, Aeromonadales, Aeromonadaceae. The record is from Rfam.
UAUUUCCUGGGGUGUUCGUCAGUGGGCUUAUGUCCCUGAGCCGAUAAUUUUUUUGCAAGGAAGUCGCUCGCUAGUCAGUGUGCAUGCCCGGCCCGACCGGGAAGCCUGAGAUUGGCAGUCAGAUUUCCGCCUUGAACUCUCGGGUUCAAGGACCGAAGCCUGCAACGGCACCCCGGGACCUCA